CAAAGGCAUAGCUUGUAUCCCAGGGGUGUGAAGGACCUUGAAGGCUCACAUUUUUACAUCAGUGUAGUUGCACAAUUUGGGAGCACUGUAGGACCCAGCUAACAUGCUAGAGGUCCGUGGGGAUCAGGCCUCGACAUGACCAUGGUACACAACAGAAGCCAGCAUAGAGGCACGGCUGGCUGGCAGGCCCAGGCCCUCUUAGGAUCAACUUGUUCCAGUGGAGAGAGCUUGGUGAACUUGGCUCAUAGUUAUCGAAGGUUGGAAACUUUGCCAGAUGGCCCACGUCAGAAGACCCAGCAUGCCUUGCGAGCCCCCUUCUCAGAGGAUAGAUUGCUCACCUGGGCAAAGUGUUUGAUUAUCAAACAGCAAUCUACUCAAAUCUAUAAAGCCUUCUGCUUGCUGUGUCUGCCCGGUCUAACCAACUACAUUAAAACUUGGACAAGACCCAGGAGGUGGAGCAGUGGAUAAAGCAUUGGGUUUUCAAGCAUGAGGAACUGAGUUUGAUCAACUGAAUGUGCUAUAGUGGUGCUCUGACCCCUCUCUCACCACUCAUAAACAAACAAACAAACAAACGAAUAAAAUUUGCAGCCUGGGAAGUAGUGCCAUUGAUAAAGUAUUGGAUCUUCAAGCAUAAGGCACCCAAGUUGAAUCCUUGACAUCACAUAUGCCAGAGUAAUGCUCUGACUUCCUCUUUCUCCUCAUUAAUAAAUAAAAACCAGUCUUUAAUAAAAACCUUUUUUUAGUGGU
This is a long non-coding RNA of Erinaceus europaeus (western European hedgehog), 747 nucleotides long. RefSeq lists it as uncharacterized. NCBI's taxonomy places the organism in Eukaryota, Metazoa, Chordata, Mammalia, Eulipotyphla, Erinaceidae. The record is from RefSeq and is a predicted model, not a curated record. The transcript has 3 exons.